RNAcentral lists this ribosomal RNA (1272 nucleotides) under Microbacterium sp. 121E2. RNAcentral's name for it is "bacterial SSU rRNA". It matches the Rfam family "Bacterial small subunit ribosomal RNA", at positions 111 to 1395 of the family's 1533-position model. The record is from RNAcentral. Lineage: Bacteria; Bacillati; Actinomycetota; Actinomycetes; Micrococcales; Microbacteriaceae.
UAACACGUGAGCAACCUGCCCCUGACUCUGGGAUAAGCGCUGGAAACGGCGUCUAAUACUGGAUACGAACCGCGAAGGCAUCUUCAGUGGUUGGAAAGAAUUUCGGUUGGGGAUGGGCUCGCGGCCUAUCAGCUUGUUGGUGAGGUAAUGGCUCACCAAGGCGUCGACGGGUAGCCGGCCUGAGAGGGUGACCGGCCACACUGGGACUGAGACACGGCCCAGACUCCUACGGGAGGCAGCAGUGGGGAAUAUUGCACAAUGGGCGCAAGCCUGAUGCAGCAACGCCGCGUGAGGGAUGACGGCCUUCGGGUUGUAAACCUCUUUUAGCAGGGAAGAAGCGAAAGUGACGGUACCUGCAGAAAAAGCGCCGGCUAACUACGUGCCAGCAGCCGCGGUAAUACGUAGGGCGCAAGCGUUAUCCGGAAUUAUUGGGCGUAAAGAGCUCGUAGGCGGUUUGUCGCGUCUGCUGUGAAAUCCCGAGGCUCAACCUCGGGCCUGCAGUGGGUACGGGCAGACUAGAGUGCGGUAGGGGAGAUUGGAAUUCCUGGUGUAGCGGUGGAAUGCGCAGAUAUCAGGAGGAACACCGAUGGCGAAGGCAGAUCUCUGGGCCGUAACUGACGCUGAGGAGCGAAAGGGUGGGGAGCAAACAGGCUUAGAUACCCUGGUAGUCCACCCCGUAAACGUUGGGAACUAGUUGUGGGGUCCAUUCCACGGAUUCCGUGACGCAGCUAACGCAUUAAGUUCCCCGCCUGGGGAGUACGGCCGCAAGGCUAAAACUCAAAGGAAUUGACGGGGACCCGCACAAGCGGCGGAGCAUGCGGAUUAAUUCGAUGCAACGCGAAGAACCUUACCAAGGCUUGACAUAUACGAGAACGGGCCAGAAAUGGUCAACUCUUUGGACACUCGUAAACAGGUGGUGCAUGGUUGUCGUCAGCUCGUGUCGUGAGAUGUUGGGUUAAGUCCCGCAACGAGCGCAACCCUCGUUCUAUGUUGCCAGCACGUAAUGGUGGGAACUCAUGGGAUACUGCCGGGGUCAACUCGGAGGAAGGUGGGGAUGACGUCAAAUCAUCAUGCCCCUUAUGUCUUGGGCUUCACGCAUGCUACAAUGGCCGGUACAAAGGGCUGCAAUACCGCGAGGUGGAGCGAAUCCCAAAAAGCCGGUCCCAGUUCGGAUUGAGGUCUGCAACUCGACCUCAUGAAGUCGGAGUCGCUAGUAAUCGCAGAUCAGCAACGCUGCGGUGAAUACGUUCCCGGGUCUUGUACACACCGCCC